This is an RNA transcript of Entelurus aequoreus (snake pipefish), 1464 nucleotides long. It is a transcript of the gene named NudC domain containing 3, with no coding region annotated. Lineage: Eukaryota; Metazoa; Chordata; Actinopteri; Syngnathiformes; Syngnathidae. The record is from RefSeq and is a predicted model, not a curated record. The transcript is spliced from 7 exons.
AGUUUCUAACCGGAUGUGUGGCAUUGUUCUAGAAGGAAGCUCACAUACAUCAAGAUAUGCUAACCAGCUGUCCCAAACAUUGACGUUUUAUCAUUAAAGACACUUUCUUAAUUCUUGACCCGACUUGUGGUCGACUCGGAAGAUAGUUUGACGGCUGGAACGGCGAGUUUUGUCAUGUCGUCGCCACUGGAGAUGACGGAAAUGUACGACAACGCUUUACUGGGCAUCCUGCAGCACGCUGGAAACAUUCAAGACUUUCUCCAAGUCUAUUUUGGAUUUUUGUACCGAAAGACGGACUUCUAUCGCCUCCUUUCCGGUCCCGGGGACAAGAUGGGCUUCCCGCCCGGUGUCGCCGAAAAGAUGGUGGUCAAGACGUACAAACUGUUUGAGAAGAUGGCCGAUCACAACCGUGAGCUGCAGAAGAGACAGGAGGAGACCAGAACCGUCCCUGCGGCUGUCCAGGAGCUGGAGGUCACCUCUGAGCCCCAGCAGGCGAGUCUGAAGGAGGCCACGGCAGCGGCGAGCGCAGCCCCGGAUCCUGUCCCUGAGACUGAGACUGAACCUCAACCCGCCGGUGUUGGCACCGAUAGUCCACUGGCUCAGGCAGACCUGGCGGCGGCGGCGUCCAACACAGCAGAGUCAAAUCAGGAGACGCCGAAGCCGGAUUCGGACAGUUACAAUGGCGCCGUGAGGGAAAACUACAAGUGGUCCCAGGACUACACCGAUGUGGAGGUGCGCGUGUUCGUGCCCAAGUCGGUGGUCAAGGGUCGACAGGUGAGCGUCACGCUGCACAGCAACAGCGUGCGUGUGUGCAUGAGGGCGGGGCCACAGGAGGAGACGCUGAUGGAGGGAGAGUUCACACAUAAGAUCAACACGGAAAACUCCCUGUGGAGCCUCGAACCUGGCGACUGCGUUGUCCUGUCACUCAACAAAACCUCCGAGGUUUGGUGGAAAGCGGUCCUCAGCGGCGAGGAGGAGAUCGACGUGAACCAAAUCAACCGCGAGCGCUCCAUGGCGACCGUGGACGAGGACGAGCACGCCGUCCUGGACCGCCUCACCUUCGACUACCACCAGAAGCUGCAGGGCAAGCCGCAGAGUCACGAAGUGAAAGUGCAUGAGAUGCUGAAGAAGGGCUGGGAAGCCGAGGGCUCGCCGUUUAGAGGACAGCAGUUCGACCCCUCCAUGUUUGACAUCCCCCCAAGUGCGGUGCAGUUCUGAGGCCCCGCCCACCCGCAGGUCAUGACAACAAACUUGUGCUUUAAUGACAUGAUCAGCAGGGGGUGUCAACAAUCAGGUACAGGUCAGUGGUUUGGUACCACUUCCAGUCGGGGACGAUGGAAACACAAAUACGUGCAGCGCUGGGCGUGUCGAGUGUCUUUUUAUUCUCAAAAGAAUGAAAAUUCGCAUUUGUUCUAAAAUGAAAUAAAACACUUGUCGGGCUGGGCUGUACGCCUUUUCUUCGUU